Molecule: ribosomal RNA, 247 nt
Filed under: uncultured bacterium
Lineage: Bacteria
Also listed under: 1 other name
Description: partial 16S ribosomal RNA
Rfam family: Bacterial small subunit ribosomal RNA
Source: RNAcentral
CACGCCCUAAACGAUGUCAACUAGUUGUCGGGUCUUAAUUGACUUGGUAACGCAGCUAACGCGUGAAGUUGACCGCCUGGGGAGUACGGCCGCAAGGUUAAAACUCAAAGGAAUUGACGGGGACCCGCACAAGCGGUGGAUGAUGUGGAUUAAUUCGAUGCAACGCGAAAAACCUUACCUGCGUUUGACAUGCUAGGAAGUCCGAAGAGAUUUGGAUGUGCUCGAAAGAGAGCCUAGACACAGGUGC